AUAUGUGAAGGUGAUAUGGCUGUGACUUCUAUCACCCUGUUGAAACUCAUGUUUGGUCUGAAAGUCUGAUAGGCUAAAGUGAAGGUUUCGUCUUCCCUCAGUCUUCUGUAAACACUCCUUCCCCAAGAUGGGGUCAUGGAUGCAGGUGGAUGAUAAUCCCAGCAUGCAGAAAGUCACUCCCAGGUAGGAAUAUACAGAUUGUUGUGUUCCUCUGAAAAACCACCAAAGAAAAUAGGCAUAGGAAAGAAUGUGAAGGAAAAUAAAAAGUUGAUUCUGAUAUUUCCUACUAUGGAAGUGUGGAA
Unclassified non-coding RNA from Aotus nancymaae (Ma's night monkey), 302 nucleotides. Its record names the gene 7SK. It matches the Rfam family "7SK RNA". Rfam says of the family: 7SK was discovered as an abundant small nuclear RNA in the mid-70s but a possible function has only recently been suggested. Two independent studies have found that 7SK RNA binds the CDK9/cyclin T complex (known as elongation factor P-TEFb). The record is from Ensembl. NCBI's taxonomy places the organism in Eukaryota, Metazoa, Chordata, Mammalia, Primates, Aotidae.